GAGCACGUAGGUGGGUUUGUAAGUCAGAUGUGAAAGCCUUCUGUUCAACGGAAGAAUUGCAUCUGAAACUGCGAGUCUUGAGUGUAGGAGGGGAGAAUGGAACUUCUGGUGGAGCGGUGAAAUGCGUAGAUAUCAGAAGGAACGCCGGCGGCGAAAGCGAUUCUCUGGCCUAUUACUGACACUCAGUGUGCGAAAGCUAGGGGAGCAAACGGGAUUAGAUACCCCGAUAGUCCUAGCCGUAAACGAUGGGCACUAAGUAGAGGGGUUUU
RNAcentral lists this ribosomal RNA (269 nucleotides) under uncultured Planctomycetales bacterium. RNAcentral's name for it is "partial 16S ribosomal RNA". It matches the Rfam family "Bacterial small subunit ribosomal RNA", at positions 565 to 832 of the family's 1533-position model. Lineage: Bacteria; Pseudomonadati; Planctomycetota; Planctomycetia; Planctomycetales. The record is from RNAcentral.